This 454-nucleotide long non-coding RNA is filed under the name Elaeis guineensis (African oil palm). Its description in RNAcentral is "long non-coding RNA (EGUI_LNC054046)". The record is from RNAcentral. Lineage: Eukaryota; Viridiplantae; Streptophyta; Magnoliopsida; Arecales; Arecaceae.
AGAUUUUUCCAGUGGAGGCCAAAGCCUACUGAUUAGGUUCUGGGGUAAAAUUAAUUACUAGAAGUUAUUUAGAGAAACAACUGGUUAUGAACCUACCCAUAAAUGCACAUGGGUUGACCAACCAAAGUUGGGCUCGUGUGUAGUCUGUGUGGAUUCUAGUACUCACUAAGAAAUUAAAGUAAUUCCUCGAAUUGGAGGUUGAGGCUACCAAUUCGUAAAAAUACUGGGAGAAACUUUAGACUAAAGUCCAAGUCUUUAGUAUUAAUAAUUUAUGUACUGAUAUAGGUCUGGUUUUCCUUUAUGCAGCUAUGGCCACUACCCUGUCGCUCUGGUCAUUAUUAUAUAAUGACAAGCUCAUGGGACCUAAUUUCGAUAGCUGGUAUCGAAAAUUAAAAAUCGUCCUUGAGCAUGAGCGGAUCCUUUAUGUAGUAACGGAUCCAGCACCUGAGGAGCC